RNAcentral lists this ribosomal RNA (402 nucleotides) under Salmonella enterica. Its description in RNAcentral is "partial 23S ribosomal RNA". It matches the Rfam family "Bacterial large subunit ribosomal RNA", at positions 2402 to 2803 of the family's 2925-position model. Lineage: Bacteria; Pseudomonadati; Pseudomonadota; Gammaproteobacteria; Enterobacterales; Enterobacteriaceae. The record is from RNAcentral. RNAcentral also lists the same sequence under 2 other names.
AAAGCAGGUCAUAGUGAUCCGGUGGUUCUGAAUGGAAGGGCCAUCGCUCAACGGAUAAAAGGUACUCCGGGGAUAACAGGCUGAUACCGCCCAAGAGUUCAUAUCGACGGCGGUGUUUGGCACCUCGAUGUCGGCUCAUCACAUCCUGGGGCUGAAGUAGGUCCCAAGGGUAUGGCUGUUCGCCAUUUAAAGUGGUACGCGAGCUGGGUUUAGAACGUCGUGAGACAGUUCGGUCCCUAUCUGCCGUGGGCGCUGGAGAACUGAGGGGGGCUGCUCCUAGUACGAGAGGACCGGAGUGGACGCAUCACUGGUGUUCGGGUUGUCAUGCCAAUGGCACUGCCCGGUAGCUAAAUGCGGAAGAGAUAAGUGCUGAAAGCAUCUAAGCACGAAACUUGCCCCGAG